AGCGAACGCUGGCGGCAGGCCUAACACAUGCAAGUCGAACGAACUCUUCGGAGUUAGUGGCGGACGGGUGAGUAACACGUGGGAACGUGCCUUUAGGUUCGGAAUAACUCAGGGAAACUUGUGCUAAUACCGAAUGUGCCCUUCGGGGGAAAGAUUUAUCGCCUUUAGAGCGGCCCGCGUCUGAUUAGCUAGUUGGUGAGGUAAAGGCUCACCAAGGCGACGAUCAGUAGCUGGUCUGAGAGGAUGAUCAGCCACAUUGGGACUGAGACACGGCCCAAACUCCAACGGGAGGCAGCGGGGGGGAAUCUUGCGCAAUGGGAGAAAGCCUGACGCAGCCAUGCCGCGUGAAUGAUGAAGUUCUUAGGAUUGUAAAAUUCUUUCACCGGGGACGAUAAUGACGGUACCCGGAGAAGAAGCCCCGGCUAACUUCGUGCCAGCCGCCGCGGUAA
RNAcentral lists this ribosomal RNA (449 nucleotides) under uncultured bacterium. RNAcentral describes it as "partial 16S ribosomal RNA". It matches the Rfam family "Bacterial small subunit ribosomal RNA", at positions 29 to 523 of the family's 1533-position model. The record is from RNAcentral.